Long non-coding RNA from Eleginops maclovinus (Patagonian blennie), 781 nucleotides. RefSeq lists it as uncharacterized. The record is from RefSeq and is a predicted model, not a curated record. Lineage: Eukaryota; Metazoa; Chordata; Actinopteri; Perciformes; Eleginopidae. The transcript has 4 exons.
UGUGUGUGUUACCCAGGUGCUGCAGGUCCUCGGUGGUGAGCUCACAGCUGCUGAGGCGGAGCUCUGUCAGCACCGCCGGCUGCAGAGCGUCCAGCAGCAGAGGCAAAUGUCCUCCAACCACCUUACACCAGGACACAUCCACACUGCGCAGAGUAAGACUCUCACAGCAUGACUGGAAGUACUUGCAGUAUAAGUAUGUGCGUACCUAGAGCAGUGACAACCUCCUGGCUCAGGUUGCAGCUGUUGAGCGGCAGACGUCUCAUCUGAGUGAGAGGCAGGGCAGUGAGCAUCGGGGGGAGCACCCCCCCCACAUCCUUAUUGGAUGACACAUCCAGUUCCGUUAGCGCUGGCAGCGAAGGAAGAGCCUGGACUGAACACAAUGGGAAAAAUCUCUAAAAACUCAGCAGAUGUCCUACCGAGAGCAUGAAGGCUUUCCUCCGUCAGACCGCAGGCCUGUAAACGCAGCGUGGUGAUGGAGGAGGCGUGUGACAGAGAGGAGGAAAACUCCCUGAAAGCUUCCACUUCCUGUGAGAGCUGAGGAUUACAGGAGACGUCCAACACGCAGACACUGGAGAGAGCAGACAGCAGUCCUCCUGAGGGACACACAGGACAUGGAUCCCCGUCCGGUCUCGGGACAGGAAGCGUCCCAGAGGCUUCCUGUCCGACGCUGCACGCUUCCUGCGGAUCUGGUUCAUGAUGAGGUCGAAAGGGGAGCGCCUAAGACUGCCACCCCCCCGCUGAACAUCUGAACAAUCAGACACAAAGUGAACACAUCAUGUUU